UGCAGUUACAUAUCAUGGAUGAAGUUGCUGGUGCUGAUGCUCCCAAGUAUUAUAAUUACAGGCAGACAGGAACUUGACAACUGGAAAUAGAAAUGGCUUCAACUGAAUCUUGAGGUUGCUGCAGUUGGAUUUUGUUUCCCUGGUCUGUCCAGUUGCUGUGAUUAUCACUUGAAAUGGAUGAAAAUGAAUUUAUCUGAAUUACUAUUGAUAAUGGUCUUGUCUGUCCUGAGCCAAAGGUGAAGAUGCUGAAUAGCAUAAAAUGUCAAGGGAUUGGAGAAAAACAAAUGUGGCAGAAACCUCAGGAACUUGAAUACUGUGGAAGGAAUACUUCCGAUGAAUCCUCACACAAAUGAGACUGCUGGCCCAACUUCCAAGUUUGGACCUCUUUGGGGAUCUGAGAAGUGAAACAAAACACCAGUAUGCUAUUAAAGUGUACACAACAGAAUUUUAAUAAAGUGACAUUGUACAUUAA
Long non-coding RNA from Vombatus ursinus (common wombat), 472 nucleotides. RefSeq lists it as uncharacterized. The transcript is spliced from 10 exons. Lineage: Eukaryota; Metazoa; Chordata; Mammalia; Diprotodontia; Vombatidae. The record is from RefSeq and is a predicted model, not a curated record.